GGCAAUUUUGGGGCAUUCCUGGGGUCCAAAUCCAGGUUGGGAAGGGUGGGAAUCUCUCAGGGAGAUCCCCAAUGAGGAAAUCCUGGAAUUCCAGGCCUGUUUCCAUGGGAAUUUUCAUUGGGAAUGUCGGGGUGGAUUGAAGGGAUGGGAUCCCAAGGGGGUUUUUUGGAGCUUCCCAUGGGAUUUUGGGGCAAUUUUGGGGCAUUCCUGGGAUCCAAAUCCAGGUUGGGAAGGGUGGGAAUCUCUCAGGGAGAUCCCCAAUGAGGGAAUCCCAAAAUUCCAGGCCUUUUCCAUGGGAAUUUUCAUUGGGAAUGUGGGGGUGGAUUGAAGGGAUGGGAUCCCAAUGGAAUUCCAAGGGGGUUUUUUGGAGCUUCCCAUGGGAUUUUGGGGCAAUUUUGGGGCAUUCCUGGGGUCCAAAUCCAGGUUGGGAAGGGUGGGAAUCUCUCAGGGAGAUCCCCAAUGAGGAAAUCCUGGAAUUCCAGAGCUGUUUCCAUGGGAAUUUUCAUUGGGAAUGUGGGGGUGGAUUGACCAGAGAGGGUUUUUUGGAGCUUCCCAUGGGAUUUUGGGGCAAUUUUGGGGCAUUCCUGGGGUCCAAAUCCAGGUUGGGAAGGGUGGGAAUCUCUCAGGGAGAUCCCCAAUGAGGAAAUCCUGGAAUUCCAGGGCCUUUUCCAUGGGAAUUUUCAUUGGGAAUGUCAGGGUGGAUUGAAGGGAUGGGAUCCCAAAGGCGUUCCAAGGGGGUUUUUUGGAGCUUCCCAUGGGAUUUUGGGAUCCAAAUCAGGGUUGGGAAGGGUGGGAAUCUCUCAGGGAGAUCCCCAGUGAGGGAAUCCUGGAAUUCCAGAGCUGAUUCCAUGGGAAUUUUCAUUGGGAAUGUCAGGGUGGAUUGAAGGGAUGGGAUCCCAAUGGAAUUCCAAGGGGGUUUUUUGGAGCUUCCCGUGGGAUUUUGGGGCAAUUUUGGGGCAAU
Myiozetetes cayanensis is the source of this 961-nucleotide long non-coding RNA. RefSeq lists it as uncharacterized. NCBI's taxonomy places the organism in Eukaryota, Metazoa, Chordata, Aves, Passeriformes, Tyrannidae. The record is from RefSeq and is a predicted model, not a curated record. The transcript has 3 exons.